AUGCAAGGACGGAGUAGGUGCAGUUUUGAUGCAACAGGGACAUCCCAUCGUUAUCUUAGUAAAGCUCUCUCUCAUAAGAACACGACCCUUAAUGCUUAUGAAAAAGAAAAUCUGGCAAUACUGAUGGCAGUGGACAAGUGGAGGCCCUACCUGCAACAUCAACACUUUGUCAUUCGUACGAAUCAACAUGCACUCCUAUACCUGAUAGAGCAGCGUUUGUGUACUAGGAUUCAUCACAAAGCGUUUGUCAAGCUCAUGGGUCUCAACUAUAUACUAAUGUUGCAGCUGAUGCACUCUCGCGCCGCGAGCAUGAUGCUCCUUUGCUUGCCUUCUCAACUAUCAUUCCUUCUUGGUUGGAGACACUAG
This 366-nucleotide ribosomal RNA is filed under the name Triticum aestivum (bread wheat). Its description in RNAcentral is "partial small subunit ribosomal RNA". The record is from RNAcentral. Lineage: Eukaryota; Viridiplantae; Streptophyta; Magnoliopsida; Poales; Poaceae.